Molecule: ribosomal RNA, 301 nt
Filed under: uncultured bacterium
Lineage: Bacteria
Description: partial 16S ribosomal RNA
Rfam family: Bacterial small subunit ribosomal RNA
Source: RNAcentral
CAGCCGCCGCGGGAAUACGUAGGGUGCAAGCGUUAAUCGGAAUUACUGGGCGUAAAGCGUGCGCAGGCGGUUUGUUAAGACAGAUGUGAAAUCCCCGGGCUUAACCUGGGAACUGCAUUUGUGACUGGCAAGCUAGAGUCUGGCAGAGGGGGGUGGAAUUCUGCGUGUAGCAGUGAAAUGCGUAGAUAUGCGGAGGAACACCGAUGGCGAAGGCAGCCCCCUGGGCCAACACUGACGCUCAUGCACGAAAGCGUGGGGAGCAAACAGGAUUAGAUACCCGAGUAGUCCCUGUCUCUUAUAC